AGAGUUUGAUCCUGGCUCAGGACGAACGCUGGCGGCGUGCUUAACACAUGCAAGUCGAACGGUGAAGUCCCUUCGGGGGCGGAUCAGUGGCGAACGGGUGAGUAACACGUGGGCAAUCUGCCCCUCACUGUGGGAUAACUCCGGGAAACCGGGGCUAAUACCGCAUAUGAAGCCUGGCGGCAUCGCCGGGUUUGGAAAGUUUUUCGGUGAGGGAUGAGCCCGCGGCCUAUCAGCUUGUUGGUGAGGUAAUGGCUCACCAAGGCGACGACGGGUAGCCGGCCUGAGAGGGCGACCGGCCACACUGGGACUGAGACACGGCCCAGACUCCUACGGGAGGCAGCAGUGGGGAAUAUUGGGCAAUGGGCGAAAGCCUGACCCAGCGGCGCCGCGUGC
RNAcentral lists this ribosomal RNA (393 nucleotides) under uncultured bacterium. RNAcentral's name for it is "bacterial SSU rRNA". It matches the Rfam family "Bacterial small subunit ribosomal RNA", at positions 8 to 404 of the family's 1533-position model. The record is from RNAcentral.